GAGUUGCAAAACUCCCAACCAUUGUGAACUUACCUCACCGUUGCUUCGGCGGGUGGCCCCACUCCCUCGUCCGGGGUGGGGCCGCGCCGGCCCCGGCUCACGGGCGCCGGCAAUCCCGUCAAAGGACCUGAACUCUUAGUCAUCAUUGGCCUCUCUGAGUAACUUAUACAAUAAGUCAAAACUUUCAACAACGGAUCUCUUGGUUCU
Molecule: unclassified non-coding RNA, 207 nt
Filed under: rhizosphere metagenome
Description: partial ribosomal RNA internal transcribed spacer region
Source: RNAcentral